RNA transcript from Erigeron canadensis, 3140 nucleotides. It is a transcript of the gene named calmodulin binding protein PICBP-like, with no coding region annotated. The record is from RefSeq and is a predicted model, not a curated record. The transcript is spliced from 6 exons. NCBI's taxonomy places the organism in Eukaryota, Viridiplantae, Streptophyta, Magnoliopsida, Asterales, Asteraceae.
AUUUGUCAAAAUUUCACAACACAAGAAUACACACACACCAGCUAUCAUCACGCCACCAUAUCACUUGCCAGCAUCAAAUCAUCACAAUCUUGUCUCAACUAAAAAACACGCCAAAUCUUGCUUACACCCUUUUCAUAUUUCUUCAAUUUAGGCAAGUUUUUGCUGAAAAGGUUGAAACUUUCCAUCUGGGUAUUAGAAAUCUUUAAUCUUUUUUGGAAAGAAAUUUCAUACAUAUUUACAAAGUGUCCAUUAUGACAUUUGAAUCAUCUUUGACUCAAGAUUCAGUGACUGAAAAGAAGAAAUUGCAAUUGGAUUACCUUUCCCCUGAAUCAUCUUUGACCCAGGUUGAUAGUGAUUCGGAAUCUACUUCAGCUUCAUCAUCAAUGCAAAGUUCCGUAUCAAGUGCAACAUCUUCAAUUGAUCAUGGUAGCAGUAAUGUCAAUGAUGGAACCCAACAAAAGAAAACGCUGAACAACUCAUUUUCAAAAAAGUUCGCCACUUUUGGGAGCUUCAUGUCAUAUAGGAGGCGGACACAAUCAAAGCUCAGUCAAACGUCAAUUAAGUUGUCAGAUGAUGGUUCAACUACAUCUCCACAAUCUUCAUCCAUUGAAGUAUCAGAUGAAUCAUCUAAUUAUGUUGAGAAACCUAUGCCAAAGUUCACAAGGAAUGGUAGUCUGAGGUCUGUCAAGAUCCUUAGGAGCAAAAGCAAGAACAAGUCUACUCUCAAAUCCAAAAAAUCAUCAAUAAAAAAAAAUUCAGAAGCUUCAGGGGAAUCGCAUUCAGAAAGAGCCACUUUUUCAUCAAUUCUCAAGGACUCAAAGUUCCCUGAACAACUUAAACAUCAGCCCGGACCAUCAGAACCAGAAGAAGUACUUCCAAUAGCAAAACUUUGUCCAUACCAACACUGUUCUCUUCAUGGUCAUCAUCAUCAUCAUGAGCCUCCACAAAAGCGGUUUGAGUACCUAAAACGACGCACUACAAAGGAGCAAAAGAUCAUAAAGCCCAAAAGUCAACCCAUGGAUAAAAGUUCUAUCAAGAAACGAGAAGUCAAAGGAAUGAAAAAGGUUUCUAAUAAUGACGAUUUCUCUAUAGAAUUUUAUGCUAAACCAAGAUCAGAACCGCUUUCGAGUCAUGAUCAUGAUGAUGCUGAGUUUGCUGAUAUCUUAUUUGGGGUCAACAGCUUUCAAGAGAUAAAGAAUGAGGUAUCCAUCUCAAACAAUCAUGAUUUUAAUGAAUUCAAUUAUAAGAAAGAUGAAAAUUCGAAUGGGUCGACGAGUGUUCUUGAAAAUAAGCAAUCUUUAAAGAAAACGAACCAAAUAAGCAUGUGGCAUAUGAUCCAUCAGCAUAUGGUAACUGGUCUUGCAGCAGAAUCAGGGGAACCGAUACUUCAAGAAGUAGAUGAAGAAAAGAAAGCACAAACUAAAGAUUUUGAUGAUGCCACGAGUCAAGAAAGUGAAAUCCGAAAGAUGUUUGCAAUUAAACUUGUAAGAGAUGCAAUUGAGAAGAUUCUUCUUCCAGAAGUGCAAGAUGAUCAAUCCACUACAAGUGAGGUUAUAUCAGAACAAGAUUUAUCAGAAAAUAAUCAAAAUGGAGGGGAAAUAACGACUGAUCAGAAAGAGACAGCCCAGGUGACUGCUGCUCAAGUACGUGCAACAAAAACGGAAAAAGGAACACCUAAUAGAUGGAGUUACCUAAAGAAAGUUAUUCUUUUGACGAAGUUUGUCAAAGAACUAGAAAAGGUGAAGAAGUUUAAUCCGAAAAAGCCUAGACAUCUUCCGGUGGCACCUGAAGCAGAAAACGAAACGGUUUCUCUCCGACGUCAAACAACUGGUGACAAGAAAAAUUCCGAUGAAUGGAUGCUAGAUUAUGCUCUUCAAAAGGUUGUGGGUGAACUAGCCCCAACUCAAAAACGUAAAGUAGCUUUGCUCGUGAAAGCUUUUGAAACCGUGGCUCCUGCCCAAGAUGAUCCACAAGAAUCAGGAUCGAAUAGUGAAAUUCAAAGUGUUGGUUCUGAGUCGAAAAGUAAAUUCCAAGGCAUAAUGCAACCGACUUGUGUAGAUUCGAAGGCGGGUGCCGAGAUAAAAAUGACUCCCCCUGUUGUACCAAGUUCCUUUGCUGAGAAGAAUAAAGAAUCAAAGUCUGAUUUGGAGAAAGAAAAACAUAUCAAGAUGUGGCAUAUGAUAUAUCAACAUGUGGCAAAAGAUAUUGUUACGAGAGUUGGAUCUGAGUUACUUCUUGAUGGAGAAGAAUCGACAAAUGGUGAAGAGAAGAAUUUGCAAGAAGUUGAAGAUCAAACCGAAAGAAAUUACAGACUGCAGUUCACCCAAAGUGAUGCUUUUAAGCUUGUUCAAGAAUCGGUUGAUGAAAUACUUCUGCCAGAUGUUCCCGACAAUUCUUCACAAGACACUCAGUCGGUUGCAAGUGACAUAGCCUCGGAUCAAGGCGACGAAGAAGAACCCAAAAAGAUCGAAAAGGAUUUAGUUACUGAUGAAAAUAAGGUGGUCUCAGCAGUUACAAGAUUACAGCAACAAAAGUCACAGAAUUGGAGCAAAUUGAAAAAAUUGAUCUUACUAAAACGCUCGAUAAAGGCAUUAGAAGGCUUUAGGCAACUUAAACCUCAAACCCCACAACGAGAAAUCGUGAAAAGUGAUCGAGAAGAAGAUAAAGUUGAUUUAAGGCGUCAAAUGAUUGAUGAGAGGAAGAAAGCAGAACAAUGGAUGCUCGAUUAUGCAGUUCAACAUAUCGUGACUAAGUUAACUCCUGCUCGUAAGAAGAGAGUCUCCAUGCUCGUUGAAGCUUUCGAAGCAGUUGUUCCAUUUCCUGAAAUCUGAUACUACAAUGCCAAAGUCAAUAUUUCUUGAAUUAAAGGUAUGGAAUAUGGACUCCUUGCAGUUUGUUAUUAAGGGAUUGUUAAAGACAAACAAGCAUACAAGUUGCAUAUUCAAGGCUAUGAAAAUGAGCUAUGGACAAACCUCAUAAGGGCUUUCCCAACCCACACCUCUUUCUCACUUUUUUCUCACUGCCACGUCAGUGUCACAUCAUCUCUUUCUCAUUUCAUAUUUCAGAAAAUAUCCUUACCAACCCUACUUCUUUCUCACUUCUUUCUCAAAUAUUUUAUUAUUUUUUACUAAAAAAAGAAA